RNAcentral lists this unclassified non-coding RNA (318 nucleotides) under Hevea brasiliensis (rubber tree). Lineage: Eukaryota; Viridiplantae; Streptophyta; Magnoliopsida; Malpighiales; Euphorbiaceae. The record is from RNAcentral.
GGGAGUACUUGGUUGAUUUGAUCGGUAAGCCUGGAGUUUUAAGCGAACCAGAUUCCUUGUUGAAUGGUCCAUCUUCCAUCUCAAUCCCUUCACCUUUGCGCUUUCCGAGAUACAGACAAGUUGAGCCUACAACUGAUUUCAGGUCAUUGGCCAAACAGUAUUUCUUGGAUAGUCAAUCACUUAAUCUACUGUUUGAUGAUUCUUCAGCUGGAGCUGCAGCUGAUGGAGAUGCAGGACAAUCAGACAGAAGUUGCAUUGAUAGAAACAAUGUAGUCUCUAGUUCAAGUAAUCGUGAUGAAAUUUCUCAGUUACCUCUGC